GCGAUUGUAGUCCAGUGGUUAGGACGGUGGCUUCCCAAGCCAUUGACUCGGGUUCGAAUCCCGGCAGUCGCACCA
This 75-nucleotide transfer RNA is filed under the name Methanomethylophilus sp. RNAcentral's name for it is "tRNA-Gly". It matches the Rfam family "tRNA". Rfam says of the family: Transfer RNA (tRNA) molecules are approximately 80 nucleotides in length. Their secondary structure includes four short double-helical elements and three loops (D, anti-codon, and T loops). The record is from RNAcentral. Lineage: Archaea; Methanobacteriati; Thermoplasmatota; Thermoplasmata; Methanomassiliicoccales; Methanomethylophilaceae.